Pangasianodon hypophthalmus (striped catfish) is the source of this 1217-nucleotide long non-coding RNA. RefSeq lists it as uncharacterized. The transcript is spliced from 5 exons. NCBI's taxonomy places the organism in Eukaryota, Metazoa, Chordata, Actinopteri, Siluriformes, Pangasiidae. The record is from RefSeq and is a predicted model, not a curated record.
AAUUUAUUUUCUAAUUUUCUUUCUAAACAAUGUGUACACUGUGCAUCAGUGCUAAAAACAUUAUGCCGUAAAUAACGCUUGACUGCUGUAAUGAUUGCGUUUUGCAGCAGUUGGGAGCAACAGGAAUACGGCACGAAGGAAAACACCGUGCAUGUGUUUGACAGCUUCAUAAAACUUUCUUAUUUCUGUCUAAAUAUGAGUUUUAUGACAGCUGGAGUGGAGCCUCUCAGCGCGUGCUUCCGGUUGCUGGGGUGGAGCUGUCUCUGCACAGAGGAGUGUUCAGCUGCUCUGCUUUCAGGUCAGAUUUUCCUCGAGCACGUGAUCAGACGAUGAUCCAACACGGAUCGUCAGAUUUUGGACAGACUUGUGGGGUCCAUGCCAGCUCGAGAGCACGCUGUCAUUAAAGGAACAGGGGGAUGUACUGACUACAGAGAAAUUCUGAAGUUCACGAGCAGUUUGGACGUACCUGAACUCCAGGUAGACCUUGAUCACCUUUCUCUCCUUUGGCUCCACCUCUCCCAGGAGGACCCUGAAGAGAGAGAGAGAGAGAAAGCAGAACAUUAUGACUGAGACAAAGACAUGAGGAGUCCAACUAUUGGGAUAGACGACAACAACAGAACAACUCACAGGAUCUCCUCUCACUCCACGUUCUCCCUUCGGGCCAGAACCUCCUUUAACUCCCUUUACACCCUGCAAACAGACACAAGACAAUGACGAAGCUACUGCAUGAGAAUUAUUAUUCACUGGAUGGAAAUUAAAACUAUAUAUAUAUAUAUAUAUAUUCAUGAACCCUUGCUGCUGUAUGAAGUAUGUAGUAAGUUACACAUGGAGGUCAAUUAUUUGUUGAAUGUGCAGUAUAUAGUAUGUUGGGAUGUACUUACUGGGCGUCCUGGAUCUCCCUUCAGUCCUGCCUUUCCAGCUGCACCAGACUCACCCUGUUCAGGACACAGAAUCGAUACAGCGAAUCAGAGAAUCACUCAAAUUCAUAAUGCAGGUCUCGCUCAAGGGCACAACAGCAGCUCUCCGGGCAGGCCUGGGAUUUGAACUCACAACAUUCUGGUUGCAGAGCUAACACUAUCUUAAUGAAUGAUAUCCUGGACCAGGAUUAGCCUGCUGAAUAACCUGGUUAUGUAAAGGAAUAAACAAGUCUUAACUAAUGAGAUCAAAUUGCAAGAAUCCAAGUGUCAGUAACAGUAUGCUGUAUUUUAGGGAUGGAA